GCGGCAGUAGCUCAAUUGGUAGAGUAUUAGCCUUCCAAGCUAAGGGUUGCGAGUUCGAAGCUCGUCUGCCGCUCCA
This 76-nucleotide transfer RNA is filed under the name Pseudomonadota bacterium. Its description in RNAcentral is "Proteobacteria bacterium (wastewater metagenome) tRNA-Gly". It matches the Rfam family "tRNA". Rfam says of the family: Transfer RNA (tRNA) molecules are approximately 80 nucleotides in length. Their secondary structure includes four short double-helical elements and three loops (D, anti-codon, and T loops). The record is from RNAcentral. Lineage: Bacteria; Pseudomonadati; Pseudomonadota.